AGAGUUUGAUCCUGGCUCAGGAUGAACGCUGGCGGCGUGCUUAACACAUGCAAGUCGAACGAAGCUGCUUAACUGAUCUUCUUCGGAAUUGACGUUUUGUAGACUGAGUGGCGGACGGGUGAGUAACGCGUGGGUAACCUGCCCUGUACAGGGGGAUAACAGUCAGAAAUGACUGCUAAUACCGCAUAAGACCACAGCACCGCAUGGUGCAGGGGUAAAAACUCCGGUGGUACAGGAUGGACCCGCGUCUGAUUAGCUGGUUGGUGAGGUAACGGCUCACCAAGGCGACGAUCAGUAGCCGGCUUGAGAGAGUGAACGGCCACAUUGGGACUGAGACACGGCCCAGACUCCUACGGGAGGCAGCAGUGGGGGAUAUUGCGCAAUGGGGGAAACCCUGACGCAGCAACGCCGCGUGAAGGAUGAAGGUCUUCGGAUUGUAAACUUCUUUUAUUAAGGACGAAGAAAGUGACGGUACUUAAUGAAUAAGCUCCGGCUAACUACGUGCCAGCAGCCGCGGUAAUACGUAGGGAGCAAGCGUUGUCCGGAUUUACUGGGUGUAAAGGGUGCGUAGGCGGCUUUGCAAGUCAGAUGUGAAAUCUAUGGGCUCAACCCAUAGCCUGCAUUUGAAACUGCAGAGCUUGAGUGAAGUAGAGGCAGGCGGAAUUCCCCGUGUAGCGGUGAAAUGCGUAGAGAUGGGGAGGAACACCAGUGGCGAAGGCGGCCUGCUGGGCUUUAACUGACGCUGAGGCACGAAAGCGUGGGUAGCAAACAGGAUUAGAUACCCUGGUAGUCCACGCUGUAAACGAUGAUUACUUGGGUGUGGGGGGUACUGCCCCCUUCGGUACCGGAGUUAACACAAUAAUUAAUCCACCUGGGGAGUACGGCCGCAAGGGUUGAAUCUCAAAGGAAUUGACGGGGGCCCGCACAAGCAGUGGAGUAUGUGGUUUUAAUUGGAAGCAACGCGAAGAACCUUACCAGGUCUUGACAUCCUACUAACGAGAUAGAGAUAUGUUAGGUGCCCUUCGGGGAAAGUAGAGACAGGUGGUGCAUGGUUGUCGUCAGCUCGUGUCGUGAGAUGUUGGGUUAAGUCCCGCAACGAGCGCAACCCUUGCUAUUAGUUGCUACGCAAGAGCACUCUAAUAGGACUGCCGUUGACAAAACGGAGGAAGGUGGGGACGACGUCAAAUCAUCAUGCCCCUUAUGACCUGGGCUACACACGUACUACAAUGGACAUUAACAGAGGGAAGCAAUACAGUGAUGUGGAGCAAACCCCUAAAAAUGUUCUCAGUUCAGAUUGCAGGCUGCAACCCGCCUGUAUGAAGAUGGAAUUGCUAGUAAUCGCAGAUCAGCAUGCUGCGGUGAAUACGUUCCCGGGCCUUGCACUCACCGCCCGUCA
RNAcentral lists this ribosomal RNA (1396 nucleotides) under synthetic construct. Its description in RNAcentral is "bacterial SSU rRNA". It matches the Rfam family "Bacterial small subunit ribosomal RNA". RNAcentral also lists the same sequence under 1 other name. The record is from RNAcentral.